CUACGGAGGGUGCAAGCGUUACUCGGAAUCACUGGGCGUAAAGCGCGCGCAGGCGGCUAUUUAAGUUGGAUGUGAAAGCCUACGGCUCAACCGUAGAACUGCAUCCAAAACUAUUUAGCUAGAGUGUGGGAGAGGAAGAUGGAAUUAGUUGUGUAGGGGUAAAAUCCGUAGAGAUAACUAGGAAUACCAAAAGCGAAGGCAAUCUUCUGGAACACUACUGACGCUGAGGCGCGAAAGCGUGGGGAGCAAACAGAAUUAGAAACCCUAGUAGUCC
This 274-nucleotide ribosomal RNA is filed under the name uncultured bacterium. RNAcentral's name for it is "partial 16S ribosomal RNA". It matches the Rfam family "Bacterial small subunit ribosomal RNA", at positions 523 to 796 of the family's 1533-position model. The record is from RNAcentral.